CAUGUCACUGGGCCACUACUAACGCUGAGGAGCGAAAGCAUGGGGAGCGAACAGGGAUUAGAUACCCGGUAGUCCAUGCCGUAAACGUUGGGCACUAGGUGUGGGGCUCAUUCCACGAGUUCCGCGCCGCAGCUAACGCAUUAAGUGCCCCGCCUGGGGAGUACGGCCGCAAGGCUAAAACUCAAAGGAAUUGACGGGGGCCCGCACAAGCGGCGGAGCAUGCGGAUUAAUUCGAUGCAACGCGAAGAACCUUACCAAGGCUUGACAUACACCGGAAUCGGCCAGAGAUGGUCGCGUCUUCGGACUGGUGUACAGGUGGUGCAUGGUUGUCGUCAGCUCGUGUCGUGAGAUGUUGGGUUAAGUCCCGCAACGAGCGCAACCCUCGUCCUAUGUUGCCAGCACGUUAUGGUGGGGACUCAUAGGAGACUGCCGGGGUCAACUCGGAGGAAGGUGGGGAUGACGUCAAAUCAUCAUGCCCCUUAUGUCUUGGGCUUCACGCAUGCUACAAUGGCCGGUACAAAGGGCUGCGAUACCGCGAGGUGGAGCGAAUCCCAAAAAGCCGGUCUCAGUUCGGAUUGGGGUCUGCAACUCGACCCCAUGAAGUCGGAGUCGCUAGUAAUCGCAGAUCAGCAACGCUGCGGUGAAUACGUUCCCGGGCCUUGUACACACCGCCCGUCAAGUCACGAAAGUCGGUAACACCCGAAGCCGGUGGCCUAA
This 717-nucleotide ribosomal RNA is filed under the name Sanguibacter keddieii. RNAcentral describes it as "bacterial SSU rRNA". It matches the Rfam family "Bacterial small subunit ribosomal RNA", at positions 722 to 1438 of the family's 1533-position model. Lineage: Bacteria; Bacillati; Actinomycetota; Actinomycetes; Micrococcales; Sanguibacteraceae. The record is from RNAcentral.